RNAcentral lists this ribosomal RNA (439 nucleotides) under uncultured bacterium. RNAcentral describes it as "partial 16S ribosomal RNA". It matches the Rfam family "Bacterial small subunit ribosomal RNA", at positions 339 to 795 of the family's 1533-position model. The record is from RNAcentral.
CUACGGGGGGCUCCAGUGAGGAACAUUGCACAAUGGGGGGAACCCUGAUGCAGCAACGCCGCGUGGAGGAUGACGCAUUUCGGUGUGUAAACUCCUUUUAUAUGUCAAGAAAAUGACGGUAGCAUAUGAAUAAGCACCGGCUAACUCCGUGCCAGCAGCCGCGGUAAUACGGAGGGUGCAAGCGUUACUCGGAAUCACUGGGCGUAAAGGACGCGUAGGCGGGUUGGAAAGUCAGGUGUGAAAUCCUACAGCUUAACUGUAGAACUGCACUUGAAACUUCUAAUCUAGAGUAUGGGAGGGGGAGAUGGAAUUAGUGGUGUAGGGGUAAAAUCCGUAGAUAUCACUAGGAAUACCUAAAGCGAAGGCGAUCCCCUGGAGCAUUACUGACGCUAAGGCGUGAAAGCGUGGGGAGCAAACAGGAUUAGAUACCCGCGUAGUC